CGUCUAUAUACGUAUAGCAUAUCAAUAAGCGGAGGAAAAGAAACUAACAAGGAUUCCCUUAGUAACGGCGAGUGAAGCGGGAAGAGCUCAAAUUUGAAAUCUUCAAGGUUCUACCUUGACGAAUUGUAGUUUAAAGAAGUGUUUUCUGUUAGAGGAGUAGCAAAAGUUCCUUGGAAUGGGACAUCAUAGAGGGUGAGAAUCCCGUAUUUGGUUAUUCUUUCUAGCUUUGUGAUACACUUUCAAAGAGUCGGAUUGUUUGGGAAUGCAGUCCAAAAUGGGUGGUAAAUUUCAUCUAAAGCUAAAUAUUGGCGAGAGACCGAUAGCGAACAAGUACCGUGAGGGAAAGAUGAAAAGAACUUUGAAAAGAGAGUUAAACAGUACGUGAAAUUGUCAAAAGGGAAGCGUUUGACACCAGUGUUGUUUUUCCGAAAAUCAAUUAAGAAGUGGCUUGAUUUUGUGUUGUAUUGACCUUAUCAGCUUUCUUCACUCUUUUUCGAGUCUUUCUUAAUGCACUUUUCGGUUAACAAGUCAACAUCAAUUUCUUUUGUUGUAAAAGGGUAUUUGGAAGGUGGCUUUCUUUUCGGAGAAAGUGUUUAUAGCCUUAUACCUCUACAAUCGGAGAGAUUGAGGUCUGCAGCGUAGAUCCUUCGGGGCUAGAUACACUUGUGCUAAGUUAUAGCCUUUUCAUAGACAACUUGUUGACUAUGUUUAGUCAUGUAGCUUACCCGCUUGUGCUAUUUUACCUACGCUUAGGAUGUUGAGUCAUCACACAUCUCU
This 777-nucleotide ribosomal RNA is filed under the name uncultured Neocallimastigales. Its description in RNAcentral is "partial large subunit ribosomal RNA". It matches the Rfam family "Eukaryotic large subunit ribosomal RNA", at positions 26 to 618 of the family's 3401-position model. The record is from RNAcentral. Lineage: Eukaryota; Fungi; Neocallimastigomycota; Neocallimastigomycetes; Neocallimastigales.